UUGAAGAACUGGUUCCUAUACAAUCACCAAAGUUAAGCUAUGUCAAGCCUGAUCAGUACCUAGAUGAGCAACCACUUGGGAAUACUAGGUGCUGUAAG
Molecule: non-coding RNA, 98 nt
Organism: Acanthosepion pharaonis
Lineage: Eukaryota; Metazoa; Mollusca; Cephalopoda; Sepiida; Sepiidae
Source: the annotation of a GenBank genome assembly